This 939-nucleotide long non-coding RNA is filed under the name Marmota monax (woodchuck). The record is from RNAcentral. Lineage: Eukaryota; Metazoa; Chordata; Mammalia; Rodentia; Sciuridae.
UCCAGACUCAUAUAUCCCACUGUCCUCAUGACAUCUCUUUGAAAUUCCUAUAAGAAUUCCCAGCCUACAGAUCCCAAGUUGAUCCCAGUCUUCUAACUCUGUUCUUCCUUCAGCUUUCAGAAAUGACUCCUUUCCAGUCAGUUUCCAAGGCUGGAAUCCUGGACAACAUUCUAGAAUAACCUCUCUCCCUUAUACCUCUACAUCUGAUUUCAUCAAUUUUUGUCAUGUUUAUUACCUAAAUGCUUCUCAAAUACAUUGUUUACUCCAUCCCACUGUUAUCAAACAUACUCUUGAUUGCCACCCUUUUUUCCUUGACAGCUCUAAUAGCAGGGCCUCUUGCCUACCUUACCUUAGCUAGUCUCAAUAUAGCACCCAGAGUGAUCUUUUAAAAAAAGCAUAUGACGUUUACUCAUUCAACAAAUAGGAUUUGAGCACCUAAUAUACACCAGGCACUGUGUUAGGUACUGAAGAUAUAAUUAUAGGCAAAAUAGAUUGGGUUUAUGAAGCUGAAAGGGAAAUCAAAUAAGUAUAACAUUACAAAUGUAAUAAACACAAAGGGAAGCUGUAUGGUGCUUUGAGAGCACCCGAAAACAGAAGCUAAGUUGCUUGGGGAAUAAGGAGAGAGGGUCAAAAGAAUAUGAUGUUUGAACUAACAGAUAUAAAGGAGAAUUAGGGUUCAUUAGGCUAAGAGAGUAGAGGUUGUAGUAAGAGAGUAGAGGAAGAAGCUUCCAGGCAGAAGGGAAAUCAUACAGAAGAAGAGAAUUUCAAAGAGUCAAAACCACUGAGGCUAGAGAGGAUAAAAACCAAAGCUGGGGGCAGAAAGGACAAGGUAGGGGUCAGGCUAAGCAGGACUAUUUAAACCAUGCUAAGAAUUUUGACCUUGGGGCUGGGGAUGUGGCUCAAGCGGUAGCGCACUCGCCUGGCAUGCGCGCGGCCCGG